Molecule: ribosomal RNA, 465 nt
Filed under: uncultured bacterium
Lineage: Bacteria
Description: partial 16S ribosomal RNA
Rfam family: Bacterial small subunit ribosomal RNA
Source: RNAcentral
GACGAACGCUGGCGGCGCGCCUAACACAUGCAAGUCGAACGAGCGAGAGAGAGUUUGCUUUCUCAAGCGAGUGGCGAACGGGUGAGUAACGCGUGAGGAACCUGCCUCAAAGAGGGGGACAACAGCUGGAAACGAGUGCUAAUACCGCAUAAGCCCACAGGUCGGCAUCGAUCGGAGGGAAAAGGAGCAAUCCGCUUUGAGAGGGCCUCGCGUCCGAUUAGCUAGUUGGUGAGGUAUCGGCCCACAAAGGCAACGAUCGGUAGCCGGACGGAGAGGUUGAACGGCCACAUUGGGACUGAGACACGGCCCAGACUCCUACGGGAGGCAGCAGUGGGGAAUAUUGCACAAUGGGGGAAACCCUGAUGCAGCGAGGCCGCGGGGAGGAAGAAGGUCUUCGGAUUGUAAACUCCUGUUGAUGAGGAGGAUAAUGACGUAACUCAACAAGAAAGUGACGGCAAACUACGU